Molecule: ribosomal RNA, 1337 nt
Filed under: uncultured bacterium
Lineage: Bacteria
Description: bacterial SSU rRNA
Rfam family: Bacterial small subunit ribosomal RNA
Source: RNAcentral
GGCGUGCUUAACACAUGCAAGUCGAACGAAGCACUCUAUUUGAUUUUCUUCGGAAAUGAAGAUUUUGUGACUGAGUGGCGGACGGGUGAGUAACGCGUGGGUAACCUGCCUCAUACAGGGGGAUAACAGUUGGAAACGACUGCUAAUACCGCAUAAGCGCACAGGAUUGCAUGAUCCGGUGUGAAAAACUCCGGUGGUAUGAGAUGGACCCGCGUCUGAUUAGCCAGUUGGCAGGGUAACGGCCUACCAAAGCGACGAUCAGUAGCCGACCUGAGAGGGUGACCGGCCACAUUGGGACUGAGACACGGCCCAAACUCCUACGGGAGGCAGCAGUGGGGAAUAUUGCACAAUGGGGGAAACCCUGAUACAGCGACGCCGCGUGGAGGAAGAAGGUAUUCGGAUUGUAAACUCCUGUCGUUAGGGACGAUAAUGACGGUACCUAACAAGAAAGCACCGGCUAACUACGUGCCAGCAGCCGCGGUAAAACGUAGGGUGCAAGCGUUGUCCGGAAUUACUGGGUGUAAAGGGAGCGCAGGCGGACCGGCAAGUUGGAAGUGAAAACUAUGGGCUCAACCCAUAAAUUGCUUUCAAAACUGCUGGCCUUGAGUAGUGCAGAGGUAGGUGGAAUUCCCGGUGUAGCGGUGGAAUGCGUAGAUAUCGGGAGGAACACCAGUGGCGAAGGCGACCUACUGGGCACCAACUGACGCUGAGGCUCGAAAGCAUGGGUAGCAAACAGGAUUAGAUACCCUGGUAGUCCAUGCCGUAAACGAUGAUUACUAGGUGUUGGAGGAUUGACCCCUUCAGUGCCGCAGUUAACACAAUAAGUAAUCCACCUGGGGAGUACGACCGCAAGGUUGAAACUCAAAGGAAUUGACGGGGGCCCGCACAAGCAGUGGAGUAUGUGGUUUAAUUCGAAGCAACGCGAAGAACCUUACCAGGUCUUGACAUCCGAUGCAUAGUGCAGAGAUGCAUGAAGUCCUUCGGGACAUCGAGACAGGUGGUGCAUGGUUGUCGUCAGCUCGUGUCGUGAGAUGUUGGGUUAAGUCCCGCAACGAGCGCAACCCUUAUUGUCAGUAGCCAGCAGGUGAAGCUGGGCACUCUGAUGAGACUGCCGGGGAUAACCCGGAGGAAGGUGGGGAUGACGUCAAAUCAUCAUGCCCCUUAUGAGCAGGGCUACACACGUGCUACAGUGGCGUAAACAGAGGGAAGCGAAGGAGUGAUCUGGAGCAAAUCUCAAAAAUAACGUCUCAGUUCGGAUUGUAGUCUGCAACUCGACUACAUGAAGCUGGAAUCGCUAGUAAUCGCAAAUGAGAAUGCUGCGGUGAAUACGUUCCCGG